This 463-nucleotide ribosomal RNA is filed under the name uncultured bacterium. RNAcentral describes it as "partial 16S ribosomal RNA". It matches the Rfam family "Bacterial small subunit ribosomal RNA", at positions 28 to 507 of the family's 1533-position model. The record is from RNAcentral.
GACGAACGCUGGCGGCGUGCUUAACACAUGCAAGUCGAGCGGAAAGGCCACUUCGGUGGUCCUCGAGCGGCGAACGGGUGCGUAACACGUGAGUAAUCUGCCCCUCACUUUGGGAUAGCCACCGGAAACGGUGAUUAAUACCGGAUAUGACCAUAUGUCGCAUGGCGUGCGGUGGAAAGUUUUUCGGUGAGGGAUGUGCUCGCGGCCUAUCAGCUUGAUGGUGAGGUAAUGGCUCACCAUGGCUUCGACGGGUAGCCGGCCUGAGAGGGUGACCGGUCACACUGGGACUGAGACACGGCCCAGACUCCUACGGGAGGCAGCAGUGGGGAAUAUUGGACAAUGGGCGGAAGCCUGAUCCAGCAACGCCGCGUGAGGGAUGACGGCCUUCGGGUUGUAAACCUCUUUCAGUACCGACGAAGCGCAAGUGACGGUAGGUACAGAAGAAGCACCGGCCAACUACGUG